UGGUGGAGUGAUUUGUCUGGUUAAUUCCGUUAACGAACGAGACCUCGACCUGCUAAAUAGUUCGGCGAACUCUUCGGGGUUCGGCCGCAACUUCUUAGAGGGACUAUCGGUGUGUAGCCGGUGGAAGUUCGAGGCAAUAACA
Molecule: ribosomal RNA, 142 nt
Filed under: uncultured eukaryote
Lineage: Eukaryota
Description: partial 18S ribosomal RNA
Rfam family: Eukaryotic small subunit ribosomal RNA
Source: RNAcentral